This 113-nucleotide ribosomal RNA is filed under the name Periophthalmus magnuspinnatus. Lineage: Eukaryota; Metazoa; Chordata; Actinopteri; Gobiiformes; Gobiidae. The record is from RNAcentral.
AUUUGCGGCUAUAGCAUCAUGAGAAUGUCCAAUCCCAUCUGAUCUUGGAAACUAGGCAGGGCCUGGUUAGUACUUGGAUUGGAGACCAGUCACAAUACCAGGUUCUGCAGUGG